CAGUCGCCGCGGGAAUACGCAGGGUGCAAGCGUUAAUCGGAACUACUGGGCGUAAAGCGUGCGCAGGCGGUCCGCUAAGACAGAUGUGAAAUCCCUGGGCUUAACCUGGGAACUGCAUUUGUGACUGGCGGGCUAGAGUAUGGCAGAGGGGGGUAGAAUUCCACGUGUAGCAGUGAAAUGCGUAGAGAUGUGGAGGAAUACCGAUGCGAAGGCAGCCCCCUGGGCCAAUACUGACGCUCAUGCACGAAAGCGUGGGGAGCAAACAGGAUUAGAUACCCCCGUAGUCCCUGUCUCUUAUACC
This 301-nucleotide ribosomal RNA is filed under the name uncultured bacterium. RNAcentral's name for it is "partial 16S ribosomal RNA". It matches the Rfam family "Bacterial small subunit ribosomal RNA", at positions 509 to 808 of the family's 1533-position model. The record is from RNAcentral.